This 346-nucleotide unclassified non-coding RNA is filed under the name uncultured fungus. RNAcentral describes it as "partial contains small subunit ribosomal RNA, internal transcribed spacer 1, and 5.8S ribosomal RNA". The stretch from base 1 to 73 matches the Rfam family "Eukaryotic small subunit ribosomal RNA", at positions 1759 to 1831 of the family's 1831-position model. Lineage: Eukaryota; Fungi. The record is from RNAcentral.
UCAAACUUGGUCAUUUAGAGGAAGUAAAAGUCGUAACAAGGUUUCCGUAGGUGAACCUGCGGAAGGAUCAUUACAAAGGUUGACUAAAUGCCGUGUUCCCGGGGCCUCUCUCCUUCUCUCUCUCGAGGGGGGGGUGUGUGUUUCGGGGGCGCGGCAUGUACCAACAACCAUGAUCAUCCACCGUGUGCACUCAUUGAGCCAUGGGAGGCGCCUUUAUUUUUUUGGACCUCUCAUGGUUCCAAACCAUUCUUUAGCCUUACCGUUUGUCUGAACCUUAUCAUUUUAAAAUGAAAAUACAACUUUCAACAACGGAUCUCUUGGCUCUCGCAUCGAUGAAGAACGCAGC